Astatotilapia calliptera (eastern happy) is the source of this 1001-nucleotide long non-coding RNA. The record is from Ensembl. NCBI's taxonomy places the organism in Eukaryota, Metazoa, Chordata, Actinopteri, Cichliformes, Cichlidae.
AUUUUUGCAUGUUGUUUAAACAUCUGUGGCAUACAUUGUAUUUAUUUAUUUAUUUAAGAAAAAAAAAUAUUUCACCCUACUUUUCAGGAGUUGUUGAUAUACCAAUAUCAAUUUUGUGUGGAACUUUAGGAAACAAUUGCUGGUGUGAAACAGAUGUGGGUGAUACAUUUCUGGCUGAGUCGUCCUGUACCAUUACAACUACAGGCACAGUUUCAGUAUCAAUGGAGAGCUAAUCUCCUUUAAGUUAAAACAGUAGAAUGUAAACAGAAUGACACCUGACUCCUGACACACACACAAAUACACACACUUGCUUGCCCACACACAUCACAUAUUUGACCCUAACUGACCAAUCACGGUCUUUUGACCCAUGAAAGGUGCAUUUUGUUUAAGUUAGUACAAGCUCAUGUUAUUGCGUGGUUUGAAUUAUUUUAUUAUCCCAUCACUCUGUACUCUCAAAACACAAAGGUUCUCAUAAGGACCUCCAAUCUCCACUCUAAAAAUGUGAUUCAAUUGAUAAAAUGAGUAUUAAAUGCUGCAGCUGCCUGAAAAACAAACAAACAAACAAACAAACAAAAAAAAAAAAAAAAAACAGAUCAUUUGAAUCAGACAAGAGAGCACCUAAAACAAGAAGUCCUCGGGGAGCUGAAAACCACUGCUUUAGAAUUACUGCCUCCAGAAACGAUGUCCAACUGCAUAAUGAUGCCCUUGUAAAUUUGCUCCCUCUUCAUUGUCCGCUUACAUUUACUUCCUCAUUAUGUUUCUCAUUACUUUGUAUUAUAUUUUGUGUUCUGCUGCAGUCCUUGAUGUUGCUUUUUCAUCAUGCACUUCUUCUCAAGUCUUAAAAUAUAUGCCCCUUCAUCUUCGAGUGUGUGCAGGUGUUUGCAUAUAACUUUGCUGAGUGUGAGCUUGUUGAGUACAGAUUUGAACAACAAGUCUAUGUGCAUUUCUGAAAUCGUAACACUGCAUCCCAAGUUACAUGUCUUAUGUUAUUACAUUAAAAA